RNAcentral lists this unclassified non-coding RNA (188 nucleotides) under Chytridiomycota sp. RNAcentral describes it as "partial contains small subunit ribosomal RNA, internal transcribed spacer 1, and 5.8S ribosomal RNA". The stretch from base 1 to 47 matches the Rfam family "Eukaryotic small subunit ribosomal RNA", at positions 1785 to 1831 of the family's 1831-position model. Lineage: Eukaryota; Fungi; Chytridiomycota. The record is from RNAcentral.
AAAGUCGUAACAAGGUAACCGUAGGUGAACCUGCGGUUGGAUCAUUUCCGAAAUUUGCCAGGUCUCAGGACCGGCAGAACCACACCUGUGAACCUAAAUCUUACCUGCUCAAGUUGACUGAACCUAACCCUCCAUCCUCGAUGGAAACAAAACAAAAACAACUUUCGACAACGGAUCUCUUGGUUCUC